This 74-nucleotide transfer RNA is filed under the name Burkholderia contaminans. RNAcentral's name for it is "tRNA-Gly". It matches the Rfam family "tRNA". Rfam says of the family: Transfer RNA (tRNA) molecules are approximately 80 nucleotides in length. Their secondary structure includes four short double-helical elements and three loops (D, anti-codon, and T loops). Lineage: Bacteria; Pseudomonadati; Pseudomonadota; Betaproteobacteria; Burkholderiales; Burkholderiaceae. The record is from RNAcentral.
GCGGGCGGAGCCAGAUGGUAGAGUGACAGCCUUCCAAGCUGAUGACGAGGGUUCGAUUCCCUUCGCCCGCUCCA